RNAcentral lists this non-coding RNA (24 nucleotides) under Mus musculus (house mouse). Lineage: Eukaryota; Metazoa; Chordata; Mammalia; Rodentia; Muridae. The record is from RNAcentral.
GCCUAAGAAGCUGGUGAUGUCCAG